RNAcentral lists this long non-coding RNA (352 nucleotides) under Piliocolobus tephrosceles (Ugandan red Colobus). Its description in RNAcentral is "lncRNA (ENSPTEG00000023077.1)". Lineage: Eukaryota; Metazoa; Chordata; Mammalia; Primates; Cercopithecidae. The record is from RNAcentral.
GGGAGGCCGAGGCGGGUGGAUCGUUUGAGCCCAGGAGUUGGAGAUCAGCCUGGGCAACAUGCAGCUGAGUUUAAGGCGCAAGGUGGAGAACACAUCAGCUUCAAAGGCAGAGGGAAUCGAAGGUGCUCUCCAGCUUUGGAUACUUCCUCUGCUUGAGGACACCUUGACUAACCCCCAAGGGCAACUAAAGGAUCAAGAAAGGCCCAGCACAGCAGAAGACCAACUGGACUUAGCAACUGCAGGAGGUACGUGCAUCCAUUCAGAGUGUUAAGAUGCUGUUACUGUCACUCUGCCUUCCAGGACUUGGAGGGCUUUACACCCCCUUAUCCCACUCACCACAUUUCCUCCAACC